UGUAAAGCAAAAAUACAACAGGACUUCAUAACCAUUCAAUAAUUGAGAGGAAAAGCCUAACCUCGUGUCUUUAAAGCCAGGAGUCCUCUUUGAUCUUGAACUUUUCGGCUAUAUCUGGUCUGAUAUUUUGCUUCUACAUUGACUUGGUAUUCUUGGGCUUCUGACCUUUUAUUCUUCUCUCAUCCACAGUCUCAAACUCAUAUCUUGGACCUGGUACUUAAUGUUACUCCUCUGAUGUUGAGUUUAGUUUCUCAUCUUUAGUUUCCAUUUGCCCUCUCUCCUCAGACAAGGGCUAACCACUCCCAUUAUAAACCCAGUCCCAUCAAGCUUGGUUGCUUUGGCUCUGAAUAAAUAAAUGUAAUCAGAGCAACUAUUUAUUUCAUUUCUUGGAAAUAAGCACUUUAAUUUGUUUCUCCUCAGUGUGAUAAAUUGUACCCUCAUUCAGGCACUGUGGGAAGCACACUUCUAAGAUGGCACCUAACAAUCCUUGCCCUCCUGCAUUCAUACCCCUCUCUGUGAGUGUGGGCUGAACCUAUGACCUGCUUCUAAUGAAUUACAUAGGACAAACAUGAUGGGAUGCCGCUUCUGAGAUUAGGUUACAAAAGGUUAUAACUUCUGUCUUGUUACUUUUUUCCUUGCUUUGAUGAGUGAACUGCCAUGUUGGAGAGGCCCAUGUGACACAGAGGUUGUAGUGGCCCUUGACCAAAACCAGCUGGGAGCAGAGGUCUUUAGACUAACAGCUCUGAAGGAACUGAAUCCUGUUAACAGCCAAUGAGAAGGCCUCUGAUUUAGUCCACUGGAAUGAUUAGACUGGAGGAACUAAGUAAAAAUGACUUGGAUCAGAAAAUACUGGAGACAGAGAAACCAGUUAAAGCCUAUUGAUGUGCUGGUGAUUUGAGAUAUAGAGCAUCUCUGUGAAAUAAAACGUACUGAAAAACUUCAGCCCUCAGUGCUUCUCCCCAUGUUACAAGAUACUGGCAUCAGAAAAGACCACAAAAUGAAUACCAGUCUUUACUACUUCCUUGCUUUCCAAAUCCCUACUGGGAAGUAAGAUUUAGCAGUGUGAGAGUAAUUAAGCAGAAUACCUCCUUCCUCCAGAUACCAACACAGAUGCAUAAGAAGACAUAGCUGAAUUUUUGAGCAACAGAUGUUAACUUACAAAGGACAAGAUAAGCUGUACUGUGUUCUUUGCAACAGAAGUCAAAUAUCCCAACAUGAGAAGAGCCUCUGUGCAUAUAGGCAAAGAUAACCAACUGUAGCUAAAGGCUCCCGUGUACUUUCAGUACUCAAAAUAGUCAUGCAUAUGGGGAUUCUGUCAGUCAACACCAUAUCUGCUGUUGAUGUUGGUAACAGUGACCAUCAGAAACUUCAGGAAGUGAAAGAAGAUCUCCCAUAGAAAAGGAAACCAUGCAGAACACAGAGAAGAAUCCAAAAAGGACAUGUCUGUUGGCAAACAACUUGGGAGAGAACCAGAAGUGAACCCAGUUGCUUGUGUCAUUAUUUUGCCUUAGCCUCCAAGAGCCUGAACAGCCCAAGGAGGACAAGACAGUCUUGACCUAAGGGAAAGAUAUGCUUUAUUUACAAGAAAACAUUA
RNAcentral lists this long non-coding RNA (1594 nucleotides) under Homo sapiens (human). RNAcentral describes it as "HSALNT0326236". Lineage: Eukaryota; Metazoa; Chordata; Mammalia; Primates; Hominidae. The record is from RNAcentral.